GCCGUCGCGCAGAUUUGACGUUUUUGUCAUUUAGCAGAAGCUCUUAUCCAGAGCAAUAGAGUGCUUACAUUCUCAUACUUUUUUUCUGUCGGGCCGGGCGCAGUGCGCGCUAACCAAGAUGGCCAGGUGCACGGUGUUUCCUCUAACACAUUGGUGCGGCUGGGUUGGGUUGGAGGCGCGCUGUGUUAAGAAGCAGUGUGGGUUGUGUUUCGGAGGAAGCAGGGCUUUCGAGUUGUAGCGAUGAGACAAGAUGGAAAGGCAACCAAAGUGGGUCUUAGCUUUGGGUAUGACCAGUGAGAUAUACCUGUUUGAGCGCGUGCUACGGGUGGGUGUUGUUAUGUUGAUCAGUGAGCUGAGAUAAGGCGGAGCUUUACCUAGCAAAGACUUAUAGAUGACCUGGAGCCAGUGGGUCUGGCGACGAAUAUGUAGCGAGGGCCAACCGACGAGAGCAUACCAGUUGCAGUGGUAGGUGGUAUAAGGGGCUUUGGUUACAAAGCGGAUGGUACUGUGAUAGACUGCAUCCAGUUUACUGAGUAGGUGACGCAACAUAGAAUGCCUUGUGGAGAUUGAGCAAUGGAGAGUUGGCCCACAUCAGCCCAAAGGUUGUGGUGCUGUGGGUGGGCACCAAUAAUCAUGGUCACACUGCAGAGCAGAUCUGUGGAGGCAUCAUGGCCAUAGUCCAACUCAUCAAAGACGAGCUGACUUGCAGAGGACAUACUGAUAAAUAUCUCUGACACUGUGAUUCUGUAGCCGCUGAUGUUGUGACUUCCUACAAGCCUCUCGGGCUGGUGUUUACUCAACACUCGUUGCUGUGGGAUUAAUAUAUAAGUGCCUUCUCAGAGAAGCUUGUUAGACAUUCCUUUUGGCUUCUGUUCUGGAGAUGUUCUCUGUGAAUUCUUGUAAUAAACUGAAAUGAUUUAGAUUAAUAUGAUUGACUGCUCUCCCUGUUGUUCACCUCAAAAAUCCCCUUUGCAACCAUUAACCUUUUUGAUAACACAAACUUAAAUUAUGAACUGCAUACUUUAUGGACUCCAUUAUCAUUGCUAACCACAGCAACGAGUGGGCUGGAAGAAAAGCCUGCACUAAAGGCUUUCUAAAACCAGGGUUGGUAACCACUGCACCACUCCAUUCUAUUGGACCAUAAUGUAUGGGGCGGCAGGUAGCCUAGUGGUUAGAGCGUUGGACUAGUAACCGAAAGGUUGCUGGAUCAAAUCGCCGAGCUGACAAGGUAAAAAUCUAUCGUUCUAACCCUGAACAAGGCAGUUAAUCCACUGUUCCUACCCCGUCAUUGUAAAUAAGCAUUUCUUUACUGACUUGCCUAGUUAAAAAAUGUAGAGGACUGCUAAGCACUAAUAGGCUCAAACAUAUGUGUUGCUAGUCAGAAUUGACUGCUUAUCAGCAACUGAUUUGAUUGAGCUGAUUUGAGAGAUUAUCCUUCUCUUUAGUUUCAUGCUGUAUGGUGGAUAUGAUGAACAAUAUGCCAGGAUCUCUCUCCUCUGGCUGAUAGAUACAUUAUAAGAGCUUCCCCACAGAAAGGUUAGGAGAAUCUGAAAAGCUACCAUACUAAAGGUUUUUGUUUCCUCUGUCAAAUAACCGCAUUUCCUGUCUUUUUCUCUGCACUUUGAAAACAUAUGCAGUCCUAGUGACCUGAAUGGUUACUAAUAAUAUAAUUUCAAGUCCCUUUAAUGGUGUCAUAUGGGUUUAGACAGACCAUUUAUGUUGACGAUAAAACAAGGUGUUGUUUGGCUCUACUGUUAAAGCAUUACUUGUUUCCAGUAUCUGUUUACCACCGUUGCUUGUUGUUACAUGUGAAGAUUCCCUGAAUAUGUUGUAUUUUGGCUGUACCAAAAUAUGCAUAGUAGGGCAGAGACUGGUGGGUAUUUGACUUGGAUGAUACUGUAUGAUACUGUAGUCAGUGUGUAUGCAUGUGUUGUAGCGAGCUUAUUAUUUUCUUGCACUCUUUAUUCAAAGGCAGUCACCCCACGAGACCCAAGACUCCUUUAUAAAAGGCUGCUUUGACUGUUUGUAUAUACUUCUUACGACAAUGGUUGUGUUGUUAAUCUUGGAUUGUGGAAAAUAGGAAUGUGUGAUGUCAAAAUGCUAUGCAUUAAAAACCAAUGAAACCUUAA
Molecule: RNA transcript, 2129 nt
Organism: Oncorhynchus mykiss (rainbow trout)
Lineage: Eukaryota; Metazoa; Chordata; Actinopteri; Salmoniformes; Salmonidae
Source: RefSeq, a predicted model, not a curated record